GACGAACGCUGGCGGCGUGCUUAACACAUGCAAGUCGAACGGAAAGGCCCUGCUUGCAGGGUACUCGAGUGGCGAACGGGUGAGUAACACGUGGGUGAUCUGCCCUGCACUUCGGGAUAAGCCUGGGAAACUGGGUCUAAUACCGGAUAGGAGCCAUUUUUAGUGUGAUGGUUGGAAAGUUUUUUCGGUGUAAGAUGAGCUCGCGGCCUAUCAGCUUGUUGGUGGGGUAAUGGCCUACCAAGGCGGCGACGGGUAGCCGGCCUGAGAGGGUGGACGGCCACAUUGGGACUGAGAUACGGCCCAGACUCCUACGGGAGGCAGCAGUGGGGAAUAUUGCACAAUGGGCGCAAGCCUGAUGCAGCGACGCCGCGGGGGGGAUGACGGCCUUCGGGUUGUAAACUCCUUUCGCUAGGGACGAAGCUUUUUGUGACGGUACCUAGAGAAGAAGCACCGGCUAACUACGUG
Molecule: ribosomal RNA, 465 nt
Filed under: uncultured bacterium
Lineage: Bacteria
Description: partial 16S ribosomal RNA
Rfam family: Bacterial small subunit ribosomal RNA
Source: RNAcentral